GGCUGAAAUUCGCCUUCCAUGAAGCCGGAAUUGCUAGUAAUGGCAGGUCAGCAUACUGCCGUGAAUACGUUCCCGGGCCUUGUACACACCGCCCGUCACACCAUGAGAGUUGGGAAUACCCGAAGCCUGUGAGCUAACUUAUAGAGGCAGCAGUCGAAGGUAGAAUCAAUGAUUGGGGUGAAGUCGUAACAAGGUACC
RNAcentral lists this ribosomal RNA (198 nucleotides) under uncultured bacterium. Its description in RNAcentral is "partial 16S ribosomal RNA". It matches the Rfam family "Bacterial small subunit ribosomal RNA", at positions 1303 to 1500 of the family's 1533-position model. The record is from RNAcentral.